RNAcentral lists this unclassified non-coding RNA (261 nucleotides) under Hevea brasiliensis (rubber tree). The record is from RNAcentral. Lineage: Eukaryota; Viridiplantae; Streptophyta; Magnoliopsida; Malpighiales; Euphorbiaceae.
UGGCAAUCUCCCUCCUGCAUAACAAGAUGUGGUCAACCGUCAGCCAUAAAUUUCGGAGGCAAUCAUUCAUUUCUUGCAAACAAAUGCAGAUGUGAGAGCAUAUUCAUUUUUCUUUUUAGGUAUUGCCCAGAAAUUCACCUGGAUUGUGAUCACCAAAAAUGAUUUCUGCAAGUGCUAUCCCACCAGCUUCACCAGGAUAACCUGCCCACAAAAUGCUUCCAAUGUUCUUAUCAUUCUUAGCAAAAGAUAUAUCAACGGGAC